UGUGAUAGUGUAAGUUGGAGUAAGCUUGGUGCUAUUUCUUUUCUUUUGUUUGUUAUUUUCUUUGAAUAAGAGGAUUGAAAGUUUCUAAAUAUUGUGAAAUGAAUUAUGGAAUGGAAAUGUGAUUGGUAUUGUUUGAGAAGAAGAAAGAUUGAAUGCUAAAAUCUGAAUGUAGUUCAGUAGAGAGAAUGAGUUUGUGUUUGUGUGAAACACUGUAAUAUGAAUGGCAGUUUUGUGUGAAGAAUUCUAGUGAUUGGAAUGAGGGUAAUUGUGUGUUGAAAGCUAUGAGGGCGCAAUAUUACAGUUGGAGAUUAUGAGGGUGAAUAUAUU
Molecule: long non-coding RNA, 327 nt
Filed under: Physcomitrium patens
Lineage: Eukaryota; Viridiplantae; Streptophyta; Bryopsida; Funariales; Funariaceae
Description: long non-coding RNA (PPAT_LNC004680)
Source: RNAcentral